This is a long non-coding RNA of Populus euphratica (Euphrates poplar), 159 nucleotides long. RefSeq lists it as uncharacterized. Lineage: Eukaryota; Viridiplantae; Streptophyta; Magnoliopsida; Malpighiales; Salicaceae. The transcript is spliced from 3 exons. The record is from RefSeq and is a predicted model, not a curated record.
UCUUUUUUGAGUCCAGAUGCGUAGAAUGAAAUCAACAACACUUUGUGAGCAUAUGGUUGCAACUAGUUUUUCUAGCAACGAGGAUGACUUAUCCUUAGGUGCCGAUCAAGAAGAGGCAUUUGCGCCGACUCGUGAUGUUGACUCUUUCAGCAUGGUUUC